RNAcentral lists this ribosomal RNA (514 nucleotides) under human intestinal firmicute CO31. RNAcentral's name for it is "bacterial SSU rRNA". It matches the Rfam family "Bacterial small subunit ribosomal RNA", at positions 8 to 521 of the family's 1533-position model. The record is from RNAcentral.
AGAGUUUGAUCCUGGCUCAGGAUGAACGCUGGCGGCGUGCUUAAUACAUGCAAGUCGAACGAAGCACCUUGGACAGAAUCCUUCGGGAGGAAGACCAUUGUGACUGAGUGGCGGACGGGUGAGUAACGCGUGGGUAACCUGCCUUGUACAGGGGGAUAACAGUUGGAAACGACUGCUAAUACCGCAUAAGCGCACAGUACCGCAUGGUACGGUGUGAAAAACUCCGGUGGUACAAGAUGGACCCGCGUCUGAUUAGCUUGUUGGUGAGGUAACGGCCCACCAAGGCGACGAUCAGUAGCCGACUUGAGAGAGUGAUCGGCCACAUUGGGACUGAGACACGGCCCAAACUCCUACGGGAGGCAGCAGUAGGGAAUAUUGCACAAUGGGGGAAACCCUGAUGCAGCGACGCCGCGUGAAGGAAGAAGUAUUUCGGUAUGUAAACUUCUAUCAGCAAGGAAGAAAAUGACGGUACUUGACUAAGAAGCCCCGGCUAAUACCGUGCCAGCACCGCGGU